Molecule: ribosomal RNA, 634 nt
Filed under: uncultured Hypocreales
Lineage: Eukaryota; Fungi; Ascomycota; Sordariomycetes; Hypocreales
Description: SSU rRNA
Rfam family: Eukaryotic small subunit ribosomal RNA
Source: RNAcentral
AACCCAUGCCCUUCCCUUGGGUGUGGCGGGGAAAACAGGACUUUUACUUGUGAAAAAAUUAGAGUGCUCCAGGCAGGCCUAUGCUNGAAUACAUUAGCAUGGAAUUAUAGAAUAGGACGUGUGGUUNUAUUUUGUUGGUUUCUAGGACCGCCGUAAUGAUUAAUAGGGACAGUCGGGGGCAUCAGUAUUCAAUUGUCAGAGGUGAAAUUCUUGGAUUUAUUGAAGACUAACUACUGCGAAAGCAUUUGCCAAGGAUGUUUUCAUUAAUCAGGAACGAAAGUUAGGGGAUCGAAGACGAUCAGAUACCGUGGUAGUNUUAACCCAUAAACUAUGCCGACUAGGGAUCGGACGGUGUUAUUUUUUGACCCGUUCGGCACCUUACGAGAAAUCAAAGUGCUUGGGCUCCAGGGGGAGUAUGGUCGCAAGGCUGAAACUUAAAGAAAUUGACGGAAGGGCACCACCAGGGGUGGAGCCUGCGGCUUAAUUUGACUCAACACGGGGAAACUCACCAGGUCCAGACACAAUGAGGAUUGACAGAUUGAGAGCUCUUUCUUGAUUUUGUGGGUGGUGGUGCAUGGCCGUUCUUAGUUGGUGGAGUGAUUUGUCUGCUUAAUUGCGAUAACGAACGAGACCU